RNAcentral lists this long non-coding RNA (1591 nucleotides) under Homo sapiens (human). RNAcentral describes it as "HSALNT0278643". The record is from RNAcentral. Lineage: Eukaryota; Metazoa; Chordata; Mammalia; Primates; Hominidae.
CGGCGGAGGAGGCGCUUUUCUGGGGAGAGACACGGGCACUGUCACACCAGAGGCCACCUGGGUCCCCGCCCGCCUUGGCACCUGCUGCUCACUGCACACUGGGUCCCUGUGCAGGGGCAGCUGCAGGGAAGGCCCGACCCGGGGCCCGGCUCAGCAGGUCCCACCGCCACAAGCCCUGACACCAGCUCAGGUUCCAGUCUCUCUUCUCCAGCCUAGGCCCAGCCUGGUCACACAGGACCUCAAGUCAAAUGCCUGGGUUUGAACCUGCACCCCGCCAGCGACCUCUGUUUGACCUUAGGAACAAUAACCUGAAGGUCCCAGUGGGUGGCUGUGAGCCUCGACAGAGAAAAUUCAGCUGAGUCCCCCACCCUGUCCCCUCCUCUCCCUCCGGACCAGAGAGCCACACCUUGCACCCAGAGGCCCCCAGCACGAGGCCCAGCAGUCCAGCAGCCAGCCAGGACCCAGCAUGGCCCAGAGUGGCCGCCAAGGGGCCCACACUCACCCUCAUAGAAGCGAAUCUUGUCCCGAAGGAUCACCAUGCCUUUUGUCAGCAGCUGGUUCUGAAGGGGAGGCAAGAGAGGCUCGCAGAGGUCAAGACACCAGACCAGGUCCACAUGGGACACGCCAGAGCUGAGAUCUGAACCUCCACCUUGGCACUCAACACUGACAAUUCCUCCUUCCCUCCCUACAUACCUCCAGGGCCUGAGAGAAUGGGAGCACCACAUUCCACACCAGCCAGGCUGAAAGUACACAGGCACUGUCAGCGCUGAGGCCCCAGAUAUGACCUCCCAACAGUCUUCUGAACCAAAUACAUCAGAAAUCUUACUUUUUAGGUUGCUAUUCCCUUUAGGAAAACUUUUUUUUUUUCUUUUUGAGACGAAGUUUUGCUUUGUCACCCAGGCUGGAGUACAGUGGCACAAUCUCAACCUAGAGGUUGCGGUGAACCCGGGUUCAAGCGAUUCUCCUGCCUCAGCCUCCUGAGUAGCUGGGACUACAGGCAUGCGCCACCAGGCCGAGUUAAUUUUUGUAUUUUUAGUAGAGACGGGGUUUCACCAUGUUGGCCAGGCUGGUCUCGAACUCCUGACCUCAAGUGAUCCACCCGCCUUGGCCUCCCAAAGUGUUGGGAUUACAGGUAUGAGCCACCACACCCGGCCUAGGAAAACUUUCUAAUCAGUCCUGAAUUAUAGGCAGUCCUCUCUUUGCAUGGUUCUGAUACAUACAAGUUUCAGUUAUCCUGGUUAAGUACAAGCUCUGCUGCCCGCUCUCCAGUCCACAAAUCAAAAUGUAGAUAACAGAUGUGUACAAUGAUCACUGACCAAUUGCAACACUUCUUUCAAAGUCAGUCUCUGAUUGGUCCCUAAGUAUCUGUCAGCAGUUCAUGCACAGACAGCAAAUUGUGACCUGUGUUGCCUCCUUGUCUGCCAGUGUGAAACCCAUGUGGCAUUCUGUAAAAAUGGAUACAAGAAAAAGCAACUGGCCAACACAGAUGGAAGUGCAGCACAUCAAUGAAAAAUGAUCAUGUUCUGAACGGGCAAACACUGCUCAAAGUACUAUGUUCCCACUGUUUUAUUUUUUAUUUUUAUUUUUGGAG